Long non-coding RNA from Pogoniulus pusillus (Red-fronted tinkerbird), 628 nucleotides. RefSeq lists it as uncharacterized. The transcript has 3 exons. The record is from RefSeq and is a predicted model, not a curated record. NCBI's taxonomy places the organism in Eukaryota, Metazoa, Chordata, Aves, Piciformes, Lybiidae.
GGAGCAAGGCAACAAGUCCGACUCUCUCCAUCCCGGCUGCAUUUAGCCUCUAAUUUCUGGAGAUUUGUCAAGAAACCUCUUGGCUGUGGGCUUGUUGAUACUCCUGAUAACUGACCAUACCUUCAUCUUUAUUCAUGAGGGUGAGCCUGACCUACAGAUCCAUGCAGCUCGUAGCAAGCAGGUCACUCUAGAGACAUCACUGGACAAGAACAACUAAUUGGUAACCAAGGUUGGGAAGAUUUGAAAUGGGUACAAUGACCUGGAAUUUGGCUGCUGAGAUCAGCCUUUCCUCAAGGGACUCUCACUUGGAAGAAGACAUGUUGUGGUGUCUGAAGUCUCAGAUUUCAGUUGCAGCUUUCUCUUCAAGACAUGGAUUUCUGCAGCUCUUGUGCCAAAUCCUGACCAGCAGAAUUAAGUUCAACUUUUAGAGGUGUGCUAGUCUGAAGCUAGCUAGAAUGUUUUGGUGAGAAGAAGUAGAUUACAGGCUGUGAAAGGAAAACAAUGGUGAUGUCUAGUUCCCUCAGAAGUGUCUCUGAGGAGUUUGAGAAGAAGAAAUGAAAACAUUAGAUAACACUCUUGCCAUUUUUAUCUCACUCUCUCACUUGGGCUGCUGACUGAGCUGCAUCUU